NGGUUCUCAUCUGUGCUUAAUGCCUUNAUCGUUUAACUCAUUNGAUAACUGNUGUUUGUCUUUAUUGAUACGGGGACGUACAGUAAUGUCAUGAACUGGUGAGUAAUUUCUUGAUUAUGCAUUAUCACCUAGGGAUAGGGGUAUGACGAUCAAUUACGUUUAACUUCUGCUCUAUAAUGUUGUAUUAAUUGCUAGGGGAGGCUAGGGAUAGCAAGCCAGUAAUUAAUAUUAGGCUCUUUUCGCCGAGGGAUUGGGUUAAGGGUAGGCUAAGAAAGUUGCAUGACAAUUAAUUAAUCAAGCUAAUAAUUCAAGAGGAGUAGAUAAGAUAGAGCGGAUUAGAUGAAAUUGUAAACCCCCAACAACUCUAUUCAUCCAUUGUUUUCGUC
This 386-nucleotide long non-coding RNA is filed under the name Vigna radiata. RNAcentral describes it as "long non-coding RNA (VRAD_LNC006760)". Lineage: Eukaryota; Viridiplantae; Streptophyta; Magnoliopsida; Fabales; Fabaceae. The record is from RNAcentral.